UAUCAUUUUGGCUAAUAACCCACUAUUGCAACAUCCUUAAACUUUGAUUGAUCUCAAGGACAGUUUGCUCCGUAAGUGAACUCUUUUCCGCCAUUUUUGCUGUUCUUGCUGCUAAUUCAAAAUCGAAAGUCACCAAUUUUUACCUUCAGAUUUCCGUGACCUAGUGGUGAAACUUUGCAAGGACCGUAGGUGAUUCAGUUUCUUCAUUGAUUCUAAUCAUAUUCUUUACUGAGCUUCGAUCUAUAUCCGAUAUGCCUGAUUAAAUUUCUUUGAUAAUAUCUCUAAGUUCAUAGUUGAAGUUAUUAACUUAUUAUAGUUGCGCCUGCAAAUCAGAACUAUGGUUUAUUUAUCCCCUUUUGCCUGUAGAAUUUACACAAGGACUUGGAGGGUUUUACUAAUAUUGGUGGAAAAAACUUGCUUCCAUUAUGUUAUCGAUAUCUCUCAAUCUUAUUGCUUAUGUU
Molecule: long non-coding RNA, 461 nt
Organism: Mercurialis annua (annual mercury)
Lineage: Eukaryota; Viridiplantae; Streptophyta; Magnoliopsida; Malpighiales; Euphorbiaceae
Exons: 2
Source: RefSeq, a predicted model, not a curated record